AUACGGAUGGUGCGAGCGUUGUUCGGAAUUACUGGGCGUAAAGGGCGCGUAGGCGGCGAUGUAAGUCAAAUGUGAAAGUCCUCGGCUUAACCGGGGAAGUGCAUCUGAAACUGCAUUGCUUGAGUAUGGGAGAGGAAAGUGGAAUUCCCGGUGUAGAGGUGAAAUUCGUAGAGAUCGGGAGGAAUACCGGUGGCGAAGGCGACUUUCUGGACCAAUACCGACGCUGAGGCGCGAAAGCGUGGGGAGCAAACAGGAUUAGAAACCCCAGUAGUCC
RNAcentral lists this ribosomal RNA (274 nucleotides) under uncultured bacterium. RNAcentral describes it as "partial 16S ribosomal RNA". It matches the Rfam family "Bacterial small subunit ribosomal RNA", at positions 523 to 796 of the family's 1533-position model. The record is from RNAcentral.